This 395-nucleotide ribosomal RNA is filed under the name uncultured bacterium. RNAcentral's name for it is "partial 16S ribosomal RNA". It matches the Rfam family "Bacterial small subunit ribosomal RNA", at positions 523 to 918 of the family's 1533-position model. The record is from RNAcentral.
AUACGUAGGGUGCAAGCGUUAAUCGGAAUUACUGGGCGUAAAGCGUGCGCAGGCGGUUUUGUAAGACAGAGGUGAAAUCCCCGGGCUCAACCUGGGAACUGCCUUUGUGACUGCAAGGCUAGAGUACGGCAGAGGGGGAUGGAAUUCCGCGUGUAGCAGUGAAAUGCGUAGAUAUGCGGAGGAACACCGAUGGCGAAGGCAAUCCCCUGGGCCUGUACUGACGCUCAUGCACGAAAGCGUGGGGAGCAAACAGGAUUGGAUACCCUGGUAGUCCACGCCCUAAACGAUGUCAACUGGUUGUUGGGUCUUCAUUGACUCAGUAACGAAGCUAACGCGUGAAGUUGACCGCCUGGGGAGUACGGCCGCAAGGUUAAAACUCAAAUGAAUUGGCGGGG